CGUCAAGUCAUCAUGGCCCUUACGCCCAGGGCUACACACGUACUACAAUGGCGAGCACAAAGGGCAGCGAAGCCGCGAGGCGCAGCCAAUCCCAAAAAACUCGUCUCAGUCCGGAUUGCAGUCUGCAACUCGACUGCAUGAAGUCGGAAUCGCUAGUAAUCCCGGAUCAGCAUGCCGGGGUGAAUACGUUCCCGGGCCUU
This 200-nucleotide ribosomal RNA is filed under the name uncultured prokaryote. RNAcentral describes it as "partial 16S ribosomal RNA". It matches the Rfam family "Bacterial small subunit ribosomal RNA", at positions 1183 to 1382 of the family's 1533-position model. The record is from RNAcentral.